UACGGGGGGGGUAAGCGUUGUUCGGAAUUACUGGGCGUAAAGGGCUCGUAGGUGGCCAACUAAGUCGGCCGUGAAAUCCCUCAGCUUAACUGGGGAACUGCGUCCGAUACUGGAUGGCUCGAGUUUGGGAGAGGGAUGCGGAAUUCCAGGUGUAGCGGUGAAAUGCGUAGAUAUCUGGAGGAACACCGGUGGCGAAGGCGGCAUCCUGGACCAACACUGACACUGAGGAGCGAAAGCCAGGGGAGCAAACGGG
Molecule: ribosomal RNA, 253 nt
Filed under: uncultured bacterium
Lineage: Bacteria
Description: partial 16S ribosomal RNA
Rfam family: Bacterial small subunit ribosomal RNA
Source: RNAcentral